UUUUGGAAAGUAGGAAAAUAACUUCUGAAAAUGUUUUUCGGAUAAUGAGUCAUUUUUGCAAAAAAUAUUUUAAUUUUC
Molecule: long non-coding RNA, 78 nt
Organism: Ipomoea nil (Japanese morning glory)
Lineage: Eukaryota; Viridiplantae; Streptophyta; Magnoliopsida; Solanales; Convolvulaceae
Exons: 3
Source: RefSeq, a predicted model, not a curated record